This 121-nucleotide non-coding RNA is filed under the name bovine gut metagenome. RNAcentral describes it as "FMN riboswitch (RFN element)". It matches the Rfam family "FMN riboswitch aptamer (RFN element)", at positions 12 to 133 of the family's 138-position model. From Rfam's summary of the family: The RFN element is a highly conserved domain that is found frequently in the 5'-untranslated regions of prokaryotic mRNAs that encode for flavin mononucleotide (FMN) biosynthesis and transport proteins. This element is a metabolite-dependent riboswitch that directly binds FMN in the absence of proteins. The record is from RNAcentral.
AGGCAGGGUGAGAUUCCCGACCGGCGGUGUUCAGCAUCUGCUGUAAGUCCGCAACCCGCAUAAAGUGCGGUGGAUCCGGUAUGAAUCCGGAACCGACGGUACAGUCCGGAUGAAAGAAGGA